UAGGUUUAUUGAUUAAAAUAGGGGCCAAUUUUUCCAAGGCAUACCAAAAAUUUUAUGAAGAAAAAAUAAUCAAAGAUGUUGUCGAAGACAAUCCAGUUAGCCACUUCUGUAAAGAAAAAAUCAAGGAUUCAAAAAAGGGUUUUUUAACAGAAAUGUUGACUAUCAAUAAGACAUAAAACCUUUAAAUAUAUAUAUUUUUCUUUUUGAUAUAAAAUAUAAAUUAAAUAGUAUUGUAAAAAAUAUAUAAAUAAUACAUUAUUUUGAUUUUGUGUCAGCUUGCACGCCAUAUUUUUCUGUGUUUCAAUUUAUAGCAUCAACCAAUCUAUUUAAUUGUUCUAAUAAAAUUUAUUGUUGGUCUACAACUCAUACAUUUUGUUUCACCUCUAAUCAUCAACUCUUCCGUGCAAUCAGCUACUGUUUUACUGAAAAAAUUAUUUAUACAAUUAUAUGUAUGUAGGUGUGUAUUAUAUAAUAUUAUAAUUUAAAUGCUAAAACUUCGAUCACAGAAAGCUAUAUACACUAACA
Molecule: long non-coding RNA, 525 nt
Organism: Acyrthosiphon pisum (pea aphid)
Lineage: Eukaryota; Metazoa; Arthropoda; Insecta; Hemiptera; Aphididae
Exons: 5
Source: RefSeq, a predicted model, not a curated record